This 390-nucleotide ribosomal RNA is filed under the name uncultured Scuticociliatia. RNAcentral describes it as "partial small subunit ribosomal RNA". It matches the Rfam family "Eukaryotic small subunit ribosomal RNA", at positions 30 to 432 of the family's 1831-position model. The record is from RNAcentral. Lineage: Eukaryota; Ciliophora; Oligohymenophorea.
GCUUGUCUCAAAGAUUAAGCCAUGCAUGUCUAAGUAUAAAUCUCUUACUUUGAAACUGCGAACGGCUCAUUAUAUCAGUUAUAGUUUAUUUGAUAAUUGAAAAUUACAUGGAUAACCGUGGUAAUUCUAGAGCUAAUACAUGCUAUCAAGCCCGACUUCUUGAAGGGUUGUAUUUAUUAGACUUAAGCCAAUAUUCCUUGUGUCUAUUGCGAUGAUUCAUAAUAACUGAUCGAAUCUCAAAUUUGAGAUAAAUCAUUCAAGUUUCUGCCCUAUCAGCUUUCGAUGGUAGUGUAUUGGACUACCAUGGCAGUAACGGGUAACGAAGAAUUAGGGUUCGAUUUCGGAGAGGGAGCAUGAGAAACGGCUACCACAUCUAAGGAAGGCAGCAGG